Molecule: long non-coding RNA, 237 nt
Filed under: Linum usitatissimum (flax)
Lineage: Eukaryota; Viridiplantae; Streptophyta; Magnoliopsida; Malpighiales; Linaceae
Description: long non-coding RNA (LUSI_LNC000539)
Source: RNAcentral
AGAUACUGUUCUUUGCAUGCGGCUUCAGUUAGUAUUUACAUUUGUCUGAAUCUUUUUUAAGUAUGAUGACUGAUCCUGCCAGUCUUUUCAGGAUCAAGGAUUUUGGACGGCCAAAGGUUCCGGUUCCGUAAACAAUGGCGAUGCUAACGAGGAUUCAUCUAAAAGCAAUUCUAAGCGUUCUAAUCCGUGGUUUAUGGAUAGCUCUGAAGCAGAGCUGUUUCCUAACAAGAAACAGGC